This is a long non-coding RNA of Oreochromis aureus, 708 nucleotides long. The record is from Ensembl. NCBI's taxonomy places the organism in Eukaryota, Metazoa, Chordata, Actinopteri, Cichliformes, Cichlidae.
AAAUUGUAAAGAGUCUUACUUUUCGCAGGCAGAGGCAAAGCGUGGAAGGGUAAGUGGUCUGGGUGAGCCGUGAGUGAUAUUUGUCCAGAGCAGAGAUUCAAGUGUUUCCAGGAAGCAGGGCAGGGAGGAAGGCAAGUGAGUAAAGCGGUGAAGCUGCUGAACAGACCAGCAACUGAACAGAGGUUAGUUAUGGCAGGAUGGAGAAUGGUGUCCGGAGAAUUACUGUGAGCAGAGAGGGUAAACAGGAGAUGAGACACCUGAGUCUCAUUAAGAUGAUCAGCAUUUAAGCCAGGAGGUGACUGCUAUUCAUCGCUGGAUCGUUGUCUACCACGCAGCUCCCUGGAUUUUCCCCCGUGUGAUUCCCGAGUGGCGAGUGUUGGAGUGAGAACCUGCGAUCGUGUGUGUGUGUAUUAUCUGAAGAACGCGUGCUUUUCCUCUGGACUUCCCUGGAGCCCCUUUUCCCCUCACUCAGCUGUUCAUAGCACUCCCCCCGCACCUUCUUGUAUAUACACCUGGUGAAUUGUAAAUAAAUCUUUCUUGUGUGCAUCUGAGCCCGGAGUCCUGCGCUUGAGUCCUCCUCUAAACCAUAACAGCUACUGCUGCUGAUCAAGGGCCUCAGAGGGCCAUAUGCCAGCAAGGGUUAGAAGUCAGACACCUUGGGCCUGCAGGUUGGAAGUUGGAAGUUAACAACGCCGCCUUGUAAAAGAU